UACGGGGGGGGCAAGCGUUGUUCGGAAUUACUGGGCGUAAAGGGCUCGUAGGCGGUCAACUAAGUCAGACGUGAAAUCCCCAGGCUUAACCUGGGAACUGCGUCUGAUACUGGAUGGCUUGAAUUCGGGAGAGGGAUGCAGAAUUCCAGGUGUAGCGGUGAAAUGCGUAGAUAUCUGGAGGAAUACCGGUGGCGAAGGCGGCAUCCUGGACCGACAUUGACGCUGAGGAGCGAAAGCUAGGGGAGCAAACGGG
This 253-nucleotide ribosomal RNA is filed under the name uncultured bacterium. RNAcentral describes it as "partial 16S ribosomal RNA". It matches the Rfam family "Bacterial small subunit ribosomal RNA", at positions 524 to 776 of the family's 1533-position model. The record is from RNAcentral.